AUUUUGGAGGACUAGUGGUUAGGCCACAGCUCUCUCACCUCUGGAGCCUGGGUUUGAUUCCCAGCCAGGGAA
Molecule: non-coding RNA, 72 nt
Organism: Pangasianodon gigas (Mekong giant catfish)
Lineage: Eukaryota; Metazoa; Chordata; Actinopteri; Siluriformes; Pangasiidae
Source: the annotation of a GenBank genome assembly